AUGCUCAUAGAUCACAGUGUGAAUACUAACUUGCUGCACUCGGCUUGGCAGUGCUGCACGUUCCCUAAGGCCAGUUGCUCCCGAGUGAGUAGAAUGGCCUCACACUUCCAUGUUCAUAUCUGUUCCCAAAGUGGACAACAUCCUUGCCUUCCCUUCACUGACGGAAAAACUGAAACCUCGAACUGCUUGCUCAGCAUUACACUUUAA
RNAcentral lists this long non-coding RNA (207 nucleotides) under Ursus maritimus (polar bear). RNAcentral describes it as "lncRNA (ENSUMAG00000020565.1)". Lineage: Eukaryota; Metazoa; Chordata; Mammalia; Carnivora; Ursidae. The record is from RNAcentral.